CUCAAAGUGAGCAUGUUGGUUCAAUGCUCUUCUAGGGCAUGAGAAAAGGGCCCUGUAUUUGAUCUGCACAGCGCAAGCAAAUUUAAUAACAUGCUUGCAUUGUGUUUGCUUGAAACAUGUCUCAGGGGUUUCCAUAAUUGGAAUACUCACUGUAUCCCAUUUAUGGAGACACUAUGUGUUUGCUUAAAGGGUAUCUAGUGUGUUCAUAGGGGAUCCUGAGUGUGUAUGUCAGAAAUGUAGUGUGUGUGUAAGUGGUGCAGCAUCUGUGUGUAGGGGAUCUAGUGUGUGUUUGAAGGACUCAGG
Pelobates cultripes (western spadefoot toad) is the source of this 303-nucleotide non-coding RNA. The record is from the annotation of a GenBank genome assembly. NCBI's taxonomy places the organism in Eukaryota, Metazoa, Chordata, Amphibia, Anura, Pelobatidae.